AGUGAACGCUGGCGGUAGGCCUAACACAUGCAAGUCGAACGGCAGCACAGUAAGAGCUUGCUCUUACGGGUGGCGAGUGGCGGACGGGUGAGGAAUACAUCGGAAUCUACUUUUUCGUGGGGGAUAACGUAGGGAAACUUACGCUAAUACCGCAUACGACCUACGGGUGAAAGCAGGGGAUCUUCGGACCUUGCGCGAUUGAAUGAGCCGAUGUCGGAUUAGCUAGUUGGCGGGGUAAAGGCCCACCAAGGCGACGAUCCGUAGCUGGUCUGAGAGGAUGAUCAGCCACACUGGAACUGAGACACGGUCCAGACUCCUACGGGAGGCAGCAGUGGGGAAUAUUGGACAAUGGGCGCAAGCCUGGUCCAGCCAUACCGCGUGGGUGAAGAAGGCCUUCGGGUUGUAAGGCCCUUUUGUUGGGAAAGAAAAGCAGCAGGUUAAUACCCCGCUGUUCUGACGGUACCCAAAGAAUAAGCACCGGCUAACUUCGUG
This 492-nucleotide ribosomal RNA is filed under the name uncultured bacterium. RNAcentral describes it as "partial 16S ribosomal RNA". It matches the Rfam family "Bacterial small subunit ribosomal RNA", at positions 29 to 507 of the family's 1533-position model. The record is from RNAcentral.